GCGGAGGNAAAGNANNCAACAGGGAUUGCUCUAGUAACGGCGAGUGAAGCAGCAAUAGCUCAAAUUUGAAAUCUGGCGUCUUCGACGUCCGAGUUGUAAUUUGUAGAGGAUGCUUCUGAGUGGCCACCGACCUAAGUUCCUUGGAACAGGACGUCAUAGAGGGUGAGAAUCCCGUAUGCGGUCGGAAAGGCGCUCUAUACGUAGCUCCUUCGACGAGUCGAGUUGUUUGGGAAUGCAGCUCUAAAUGGGAGGUAAAUUUCUUCUAAAGCUAAAUAUUGGCCAGAGACCGAUAGCGCACAAGUAGAGUGAUCGAAAGAUGAAAAGCACUUUGGAAAGAGAGUUAAAAAGCACGUGAAAUUGUUAAAAGGGAAGGGAUUGCAACCAGACUUGCUCGCGGUGUUCCGCCGGUCUUCUGACCGGUCUACUCGCCGCGUUGCAGGCCAGCAUCGUCUGGUGCCGCUGGAUAAGACUUGAGGAAUGUAGCUCCCUCGGGAGUGUUAUAGCCUCUUGUGAUGCAGCGAGCGCCGGGCGAGGUCCGCGCUUCGGCUAGGAUGCUGGCGUAAUGGUCGUAAUCCGCCCGUCUUGAAACACGGACCAAGGAGUCUAACAUCUAUGCGAGUGUUCGGGUGUCAAACCCCUACGCGUAAUGAAAGUGAACGGAGGUGAGAACCGCAAGGUGCAUCAUCGACCGAUCCUGAUGUCUUCGGAUGGAUUUGAGUAAGAGCAUAGCUGUUGGGACCCGAAAGAUGGUGAACUAUGCCUGAAUAGGGUGAAGCCAGAGGAAACUCUGGUGGAGGCUCGCAGCGGUUCUGACGUGCAAAUCGAUCGUCAAAUUUGGGUAUAGGGGCGAAAGACUAAUCGAACCAUCUAGUAG
RNAcentral lists this ribosomal RNA (874 nucleotides) under Cladosporium macrocarpum. RNAcentral describes it as "LSU rRNA". It matches the Rfam family "Eukaryotic large subunit ribosomal RNA", at positions 50 to 950 of the family's 3401-position model. Lineage: Eukaryota; Fungi; Ascomycota; Dothideomycetes; Cladosporiales; Cladosporiaceae. The record is from RNAcentral.